This 417-nucleotide ribosomal RNA is filed under the name uncultured bacterium. RNAcentral describes it as "partial 16S ribosomal RNA". It matches the Rfam family "Bacterial small subunit ribosomal RNA", at positions 360 to 771 of the family's 1533-position model. The record is from RNAcentral.
AAUAUUGGACAAUGGGCGAAAGCCUGAUCCAGCCAUGCCGCGUGUGAAGAAGGUCUUCGGAUUGUACAGCACUUUAAGAUGGGAGGAAGGGCAGUAAGUUAAUACCUUGCAGUUUUGACGUUACCGUCCGAAUAAGCACCGGCUAACUUCGUGCCAGCAGCCGCGGUAAUCCGAAGAGUACAAGCGUUAAUCGGAAUUACUGGGAGUAAAGCGCGCAUAGGUCGUUUUUAAAGUUAUAAGUGAAAGCCCCGGGCACAACCUGGGAUCUGCUUUCAAAUCUGGCAAGAUAGAGUAUGGCAGGGGGUGGUGGAAUUUCCUGUGUAGCGGUGAAAUGCGUAGAUAUGGAAAGGAACAACAGUGGCGAAGGCGACCACCUAGGAUAAUACUGACACUGAGGUGCGAAAGCGUGGGGAGCAA